GGUAAAAUGGCUGAGUUUAGGCAUUAGACUGUAAAUCUAAAGACAGGGGUUGGCCCCUUUUUACCA
RNAcentral lists this transfer RNA (66 nucleotides) under Neotomodon alstoni (Mexican volcano mouse). RNAcentral's name for it is "tRNA-Tyr". It matches the Rfam family "tRNA". From Rfam's summary of the family: Transfer RNA (tRNA) molecules are approximately 80 nucleotides in length. Their secondary structure includes four short double-helical elements and three loops (D, anti-codon, and T loops). Further hydrogen bonds mediate the characteristic L-shaped molecular structure. tRNAs have two regions of fundamental functional importance: the anti-codon, which is responsible for specific mRNA codon recognition, and the 3' end, to which the tRNAs corresponding amino acid is attached (by aminoacyl-tRNA synthetases). tRNAs cope with the degeneracy of the genetic code in two manners: having more than one tRNA (with a specific anti-codon) for a particular amino acid; and 'wobble' base-pairing, i.e. permitting non-standard base-pairing at the 3rd anti-codon position. The record is from RNAcentral. Lineage: Eukaryota; Metazoa; Chordata; Mammalia; Rodentia; Cricetidae.